CUUCUCUUAAGGUUCCUCACAGUUAUGGGCAAUGUUGGGUCACCUUGGUUGACUCUGCCUAAAGCUUUUGACUUGCAAAAAGACUUGAGCAAUGGGCUGGCCUUAGGGGCCCCUAGUAUGUUUAUCAUACUAACCCCAAAGGUUUUUUCUACUAUGUCUAUGAAUUGAUGUAUGAAAAAAAAGUUAUUUGUUAACUUGAAGGCUUCUGUAAAAAGAGUCUUUAAAAACAACUCUUGGCAAUGGAUCUCUUGGUUCUCGCAUCGAUGAAGAGCGUAGCAAAGUGCGAUAAUUAUUGCGACUUGCAUUCAUAGUGAAUCAUCGAGUUCUUGAACGCAUCUUGCGCCUAGUAGUCAAUCUACUAGGCACAGUUGUUUCAGUAUCUGCAUCCACCAAUCAACUUAACCUUUUGUGUUGAGUUGGAACUGGGCUUGUAGUCGCUGGCAUUUAGUUGCUGUCAUGGCCGUAAAUCAAUGUCCUAGGUGUUAGAACAUCUAACACCGGAUGGAAACUUUAGAGCGCUUUAAGA
Molecule: ribosomal RNA, 526 nt
Filed under: Lichtheimia corymbifera
Lineage: Eukaryota; Fungi; Mucoromycota; Mucoromycetes; Mucorales; Lichtheimiaceae
Description: eukaryotic LSU rRNA
Rfam family: 5.8S ribosomal RNA (bases 229-382)
Source: RNAcentral